Molecule: ribosomal RNA, 492 nt
Filed under: uncultured bacterium
Lineage: Bacteria
Description: partial 16S ribosomal RNA
Rfam family: Bacterial small subunit ribosomal RNA
Source: RNAcentral
AGUGAACGCUGGCGGUAGGCCUAACACAUGCAAGUCGAACGGCAGCACAGUAAGAGCUUGCUCUUACGGGUGGCGAGUGGCGGACGGGUGAGGAAUACAUCGGAAUCUACUUUUUCGUGGGGGAUAACGUAGGGAAACUUACGCUAAUACCGCAUACGACCUACGGGUGAAAGCAGGGGAUCUUCGGACCUUGCGCGAUUGAAUGAGCCGAUGUCGGAUUAGCUAGUUGGCGGGGUAAAGGCCCACCAAGGCGACGAUCCGUAGCUGGUCUGAGAGGAUGAUCAGCCACACUGGAACUGAGACACGGUCCAGACUCCUACGGGAGGCAGCAGUGGGGAAUAUUGGACAAUGGGCGCAAGCCUGAUCCAGCCAUACCGCGUGGGUGAAGAAGGCCUUCGGUUUGUAAAGCCCUUUUGUUAGGAAAGAAAAGCAGCAGGUUAACACCCCGCUGUUCUGACGGUACCCAAAGAAUAAGCACCGGCUAACUUCGUG